RNAcentral lists this long non-coding RNA (1011 nucleotides) under Vitis vinifera (wine grape). Its description in RNAcentral is "long non-coding RNA (VVIN_LNC001851)". Lineage: Eukaryota; Viridiplantae; Streptophyta; Magnoliopsida; Vitales; Vitaceae. The record is from RNAcentral.
UGGACCCUCCUCGAUUUCCCCAAACUUCGCAAAGAACUCUAGUAGCUUCUGCGGAUCGAUCUCCGAAGAAACAUUGCUCACAAAAAUCUUUCUUUGAGUAUACUCAGACACCGGAGGUACCACCGGUGGCGGCGCUGGAACGGGGCCGGCAGAGGCUAGCUGGCACGAGGUCAUCCGAUUUCCAAUCUUCUUCUGCGGCUGCUUCAGCGCCUUGCGAGCGCCGCUCCGGUGCUUGAACAGAAUAAAGGCGUAUCCCUUGGAUUUUCCGGAGAUCUUGUCCGAUACGGCCUUGCAGUCUUCAAUCUCACCAUACUUGCCAAACACAGAGGUUAGGGUUUCUGCGGUCGUGUCCCAUCCCAGGCCGUGGACGAAGAUUUUUCGGUGAGCCGGGUCGGCGUCGGCGAGUCUUCGUACGCUAUCAACGAAGUCCGGGUACUUUUCCACUGCCUCCCGAAGCAAAGCCAGCAGCUGCUCUUUCGAGAAGGGCUCCAGAAGCUUCUCAAUCUCCUCAUCCUCCACAUCCCCUUCAUCCUCCUCAACCCCAUCGCCGUUCGCAUCCGCUGGCACCUCAUCCGCGACGGCUUCAUUCGACGCGUCCACAUCUCCUUCCUGGUCACCUUCUUCUUCCUCUUCCUCUUCCCCUUCCCCCUCCUCCUCCUCUUCUUCUUCUCCUUGGGCUUCGUGUUUGGGUUCGUCUUCAGCCAUGUGUUGUGGCUGAUCUUCGUCUUCCUGGAUGGGUUCAAAUUUGGUCUGAUCAUCUUCUUCCUGCGUGGGCUGUGGCUGCUCCUCUUGCUCAGGGGCUUUGGAGGAUUCGGGCUCGGAAGAACGGAGCUUUCGCUUCUUAGCCAUGGAGAAAUUAGGGUUAGGGUUUCUUGUGGAGCUAGGGUUUGAGAAGCGGCUAAAUCGCUUCAAUGAUAGUGCGUGACGAAAGAGGCAGUAGAUACGAAUGCACUUCAGGGUCAUUAUAUUUUAGGAGAUCUCGGACAACCAUCACACGUGACUUUAAUCAAC